AAAACAACCCAUUCGCCUGAGAACUACCAGCACGAGCUAAAAACUCAAAAGACUUGACGGUGCUCUACCCUACCUAGAGGAGCCUGUCCUAUAAUCGAUACCCCACGAUCCACCCGACCACUACUAGCACCCCAGCCUAUAUACCGCCGUCGAAAGAAUAUCCUGCAAAGGGCCCAUAAUUAUCCCAACAGCCACAUCACUAAAACGUCAGGCCAAGGCAUAGCUAAUGUAGAGGCAGAGAUGGGCUACAUUUUCUGGCUACAGAACAAACGAAAAAUAGCAUGAAACCUGCUACUCAAAGGUGGAUUUAGCAGUAAGAUGAAAA
Molecule: ribosomal RNA, 325 nt
Filed under: Varanus salvator (water monitor)
Lineage: Eukaryota; Metazoa; Chordata; Lepidosauria; Squamata; Varanidae
Description: partial 12S ribosomal RNA
Rfam family: Bacterial small subunit ribosomal RNA
Source: RNAcentral